CCUACGGGGUGCUGCAGUGAGGAAUAUUGGUCAAUGGACGAGAGUCUGAACCAGCCAAGUAGCGUGAAGGAUGACUGCCCUAUGGGUUGUAAACUUCUUUUAUAAAGGACUAAAACGAGGCACGUGUGCCUUUUUGCAUGUACUUUAUGAAUAAGGAUCGGCUAAAUCCGUGCCAGCAGCCGCGGUAAUACGGAGGAUCCGAGCGUUAUCCGGAUUUAUUGGGUUUAAAGGGAGCGUAGAUGGGUUGUUAAGUCAGUUGUGAAAGUUUGCGGCUCAAACGUAAAAUUGCAAUUGAUACUGGCAUUCUUGAGUACAGUUGAGGUAGGCGGAAUUCGUGGUGUAGCGGUGAAAUGCUUAGAUAUCACGAAGAACCCCGAUUGCGAAGGCAGCUUACUAACCUGUGACUGACAUUGAUGCUCGAAAGUGUGGGUAUCAAACAGGAUUAGAUACCCGAGUAGUC
RNAcentral lists this ribosomal RNA (460 nucleotides) under uncultured bacterium. RNAcentral's name for it is "partial 16S ribosomal RNA". It matches the Rfam family "Bacterial small subunit ribosomal RNA", at positions 338 to 795 of the family's 1533-position model. The record is from RNAcentral.